This 465-nucleotide ribosomal RNA is filed under the name uncultured bacterium. RNAcentral describes it as "bacterial SSU rRNA". It matches the Rfam family "Bacterial small subunit ribosomal RNA", at positions 28 to 507 of the family's 1533-position model. The record is from RNAcentral.
GACGAACGCUGGCGGCGCGCCUAACACAUGCAAGUCGAACGAGCAAAGAGGAGCCUUGCUUCUCUGAGCGAGUGGCGAACGGGUGAGUAACGCGUGAGGAACCUGCCUCAAAGAGGGAGACAACAGUUGGAAACGACUGCUAAUACCGCAUAAGCCCACAGAGCCGCAUGGCUCAGGGGGAAAGNGCAAUUCGCUUCAGGAUGGAUUCGCGUCCAAUUAGCUGGAUGGUGAGGUAACGGCCCACCAUGGCGACGAUUGGUAGCCGGACUGAGAGGUUGAUCGGCCACAUUGGGACUGAGACACGGCCCAGACUCCUACGGGAGGCAGCAGUGGGGAAUAUUGCACAAUGGGGGAAACCCUGAUGCAGCGACGCCGCGUGGAGGAAGAAGGUCUUCGGAUUGUAAACUCCUGUCGUUGGGGACGAUAAUGACGGUACCCAACAAGAAAGCCACGGCUAACUACGUG